Molecule: ribosomal RNA, 453 nt
Filed under: uncultured Porphyromonadaceae bacterium
Lineage: Bacteria; Pseudomonadati; Bacteroidota; Bacteroidia; Bacteroidales; Porphyromonadaceae
Description: partial 16S ribosomal RNA
Rfam family: Bacterial small subunit ribosomal RNA
Source: RNAcentral
ACGGGAGGCAGCAGUGAGGAAUAUUGGUCAAUGGGCGGAAGCCUGAACCAGCCAAGUCGCGUGAAGGAUGAAGGUAUUAUGUAUUGUAAACUUCUUUAGCAGCAGAGUAAUAAGGAGGUCGCGACCUCCGAUGCAAGUAUGCUGAAAAUAAGGAUCGGCUAACUCCGUGCCAGCAGCCGCGGUAAUACGGAGGAUCCGAGCGUUAUCCGGAUUUAUUGGGUUUAAAGGGUGCGCAGGCGGCCCUGUAAGUCAGCGGUUAAAUCGUGAGGCUCAACCUCAUCCCGCCGUUGAUACUGCAGGGCUUGAUUGCGGUCGAGGUUGGCGGAAUUCGUCGUGUAGCGGUGAAAUGCAUAGAUAUGACGAAGAACACCGAUUGCGUAGGCAGCUGACCAAACCGUAAAUGACGCUCAUGCACGAAAGUGCGGGGAUCGAACAGGAUUAGAUACCCUGGUA